AAAGAUGAUAAAGUUUGGUAUGAUGGUGGAAUUAUUGGAAGAAUACAGUUUGGUAAUGGCAAGAAUGAGAGAUCAAUUGCAUUUUCAGUUUCUGAGGACUCUUCGUGCUGCUUCAACUUCAUCCUCCUUCUCUGAUUCUUCUUCAUUUCUUGUUUAUUUUUAAUACAGAUUUGUUUCAUUCAUAUAUAUAUGCACGAUAUUUGGUCAUGCUUAAAAAACAACUUUUCCUCAUCUCUAUAUAUAAUGCUGAGAAAAGAUACCAAAAAACUGCUUUUAAACGCGAUCAAAUUACA
This 293-nucleotide long non-coding RNA is filed under the name Olea europaea (common olive). RNAcentral's name for it is "long non-coding RNA (OEUR_LNC004519)". The record is from RNAcentral. Lineage: Eukaryota; Viridiplantae; Streptophyta; Magnoliopsida; Lamiales; Oleaceae.